Molecule: ribosomal RNA, 509 nt
Filed under: uncultured bacterium
Lineage: Bacteria
Description: partial 16S ribosomal RNA
Rfam family: Bacterial small subunit ribosomal RNA
Source: RNAcentral
ACGCACGCUGGCGGCGUGCUUCACCCCUGCCAGUCGCACGAAGAGCGCUGGAAGCUUGCUUCUAUCAAUCUUAGUGGCGAACGGGUGAGUAACGCGUAAUCAACCUGCCCUUCAGAGGGGGACAACAGUUGGAAACGACUGCUAAUACCGCAUACGAUCUAACCUCGGCAUCGAGGAAAGAUGAAAGGUGGCCUCUAUGUAUAAGCUAUCACUGAAGGAGGGGAUUGCGUCUGAUUAGCUAGUUGGAGGGGUAACGGCCCACCAAGGCGAUGAUCAGUAGCCGGUCUGAGAGGAUGAACGGCCACAUUGGGACUGAGACACGGCCCAGACUCCUACGGGAGGCAGCAGUGGGGAAUCUUCCGCAAUGGACGAAAGUCUGACGGAGCAACGCCGCGUGAGUGAUGACGGCCUUCGGGUUGUAAAGCUCUGUUAAUCGGGACGAAAGGCCUUCUUGCGAAUAGUGAGAAGGAUUGACGGUACCGGAAUAGAAAGCCACGGCUAACUACGUG